RNAcentral lists this ribosomal RNA (253 nucleotides) under uncultured bacterium. RNAcentral's name for it is "partial 16S ribosomal RNA". It matches the Rfam family "Bacterial small subunit ribosomal RNA", at positions 524 to 776 of the family's 1533-position model. The record is from RNAcentral.
UACGAAGGGGGCUAGCGUUGCUCGGAAUCACUGGGCGUAAAGGGUGCGUAGGCGGGUUUUUAAGUCAGAGGUGAAAUCCUGGAGCUCAACUCCAGAACUGCCUUUGAUACUGAAAGUCUUGAGUAUGGGAGAGGUGAGUGGAACUGCGAGUGUAGAGGUGAAAUUCGUAGAUAUUCGGAAGAACACCAGUGGCGAAGGCGACACACUGGCCCGUUACUGACGCUGAGGCAUGAAAGCGUGGGGAGCAAACAGG